This is a long non-coding RNA of Armigeres subalbatus, 2016 nucleotides long. RefSeq lists it as uncharacterized. The record is from RefSeq and is a predicted model, not a curated record. The transcript has 3 exons. Lineage: Eukaryota; Metazoa; Arthropoda; Insecta; Diptera; Culicidae.
ACACGGUUUGAAGAAUGAUACUGUUCCUGUGAAAUAACAUUUUCCGGUUUCCUCCGACUUCGGUAUGAUCACUGAAAUCAGUACGGCCACUGACAUCAGUAGCCAAACGGACGAAUGAUGUGGGAAAGCGACAGGUUUCGGUUAAAACAAUCAAGUACAGGAAGACCACGAUGAAUUGAAUCAUCGUCUGAAACAGCAACUCGUGAACUCGUCAUUAAGAAGAAAGCUCCGGUAUAUAAAUAGACUCCAAGCUUUGGAUUGCAGAAUUAUAUGGACAAUCUGGAACUGCUUGGCGUAGCUUGACCACCAGCUAAGAACGGCAAAGCUAGUCGCCAAAACAUCAAAGUAUGCGUACGGCUAGACUAAAUGGUGUUACCGAUAGCUUUCACGCUGGAAACCAACUAUUCGGGCAUCUGUAGUAGCCGUUGAGCGUAAUGCAGGAUAUAGUGAUCGGUGCAAUUCUUUAAGUAGAUGCUGAGGAGAUUCAGCCAAUGCUUCAACUUCAGAACCAUACUGGUCAACACUCAACACAAAGUGCCGGUGCCAGUUUUCAUGCCGUCACUCAUUUUUAACAGCACAUCGGUUUCAGCAUCUCAUGCAGUUUGGACACCAUUCAGAAAGCUCUGCUUGGAAUAGCUCCUUUUGAUAAUUAUGUAGUGGCGUGUUGAUCAACAGUUCGUGAGCUAAUGCUAAUGUUGGGACCUUUCCUUAGCCAUGCGGUGAGAUGCGCGGCUACAAAACGAGAUCACUGGGUUCAAUUUUUUGACCCGUCAUAGGAAAUUUACAUUUCUGACUAAGUUGCAAGGCAGAAGGAAAUCGAAGAUGGGAAAUGUUUUGAAGAAAUUGUUCUUGUACGACUUCAUGCGAUAACCUUCCGAGCAGCAUACUAAAUUUGUUCUACGCAGGCCAAUUUGAACGACACCUUUUCAUAGUUUGUCAGCAAGGAUUUGAGCUUGGAUGUUUCCAACGACAGUUCAUGCUUACGACACAUCUGUUGCUUGCGCUCGCAGUUUAUGGUAAUAUCGAAGCAGCAACCAAAAAAUGUCCUCGGCAAUAACUAAGUUUGGAUGCUUUCAACUUGGAAAUUGCAAGACCUAUUUCGUUCGUCAUAUCGGUGUCGGUAUCACUGGACCAAGGCUGCAUAUUUGACACAUUCUUUGAUACAUUACAGUAGUAAUAUGUACUAGUUAUUUGGUUAUAGUGUUGCUACUUAACAGCUGAUUAGGGAUGCAAUUCCUUGUCGGUGUCGGAUCGUAAUUAGUUUCUCCGGGGCCCUCCUUAGCCGUGCGGUAAGAUGCGCGGCUACAAAGCAAGACCAUGCUGAGGGUGGCUGGGUUCAAUUCCCGGUGCCGGUCUAGGCAAUUUUCGGUUUGGAAAUUGCCUCGACUUCCCUGGGCAUACAAGUAUCAUCGUGUUAGCCUCAUGAUAUACGAAUGCAAAAAUGGUAACCUGGCUUAGAAACCUCGCAGUUAAUAACUGUGGAAGUGCUUAAUGAACACUAAGCUGCGAGGCGGCAAUGUCCCAGUGGGGGAUGUAAUGCCAAUGAAGAGAAGAAGAGGAGGCAAUUUUUAACGGUUACACAUGCUUAUUAAAUUCAUUAAUAUGUAUUCGGAUAUUGUAGUUCAUUGCGUUACCCAAGUUAAUUGCAUUCACGCCUUAAAACGAAGUUUAUCGUUUGCAUUGUUAUGAGACAUAUCUUCUUCUUCUUCAUCGGCAUUCCAUCCCCCACUGGCACUUUGACGCCUCGCAGCUUAGUGUUCAUUAAGCACUUUCAACUGUUAUUAACUGCGCGGUUUCUAAGCCAAGGUACCAUUUCUGCAUUCGUACAUCAUGACUCAUGAGGCUAACACAAUGAUACUUUUAUGCCCAGGGAAGUCGAGACAAUUUCCAACCCGAAAAUUUCUAAGACCGGACCGGGAAACGAACCCAGCCACCCUCAGCAUGGUUUUGCUUUGUAGCCGCGUAUCUUACCGUACGGCUAAUGACAUAAAUCCUGUAGCAAUAGAAUCUGAAUAC